GUAUGUAGCUCAGUGGCAGAGCACUUUCCUAGCAUGUCUGAGGCACUGGGUUCAAUCCUCAGCACCACA
RNAcentral lists this transfer RNA (69 nucleotides) under Marmota monax (woodchuck). RNAcentral describes it as "tRNA.Ala". The record is from RNAcentral. Lineage: Eukaryota; Metazoa; Chordata; Mammalia; Rodentia; Sciuridae.